CGUAGUUUGAUCCGUGGCUCGAGGAUGAACGCUAGCGGNAGGCUUAACACAUGCAAGUCGAGGGGUAUAGUUCUUCGGAACUAGAGACCGGCGCACGGGGUGCGUAACGCGUAUGCAAUCUACCUUUUACAGAGGGAUAGCCCAGAGAAAUUUGGAUUAAUACCUCAUAGUAUGUGAGAAUCGCAUUGGUUUUUCACAUUAAAGUUCCAACGGUAAAAGAUGAGCAUGCGUCCCAUUAGCUAGAUGGUAAGGUAACGGCUUACCAAGGCUACGAUGGGUAGGGGUCCUGAGAGGGAGAUCCCCCACACUGGUACUGAGACACGGACCAGACUCCUACGGGAGGCAGCAGUGAGGAAUAUUGGUCAAUGGGCGCAAGCCUGAACCAGCCAUGCCGCGUGCAGGAUGACGGUCCUAUGGAUUGUAAACUGCUUUUGUACAGGAAGAAACACUCCCUCGUGAGGGAGCUUGACGGUACUGUAAGAAUAAGGAUCGGCUAACUCCGUG
This 504-nucleotide ribosomal RNA is filed under the name uncultured bacterium. Its description in RNAcentral is "bacterial SSU rRNA". It matches the Rfam family "Bacterial small subunit ribosomal RNA", at positions 1 to 507 of the family's 1533-position model. The record is from RNAcentral.